RNAcentral lists this ribosomal RNA (194 nucleotides) under uncultured bacterium. Its description in RNAcentral is "partial 16S ribosomal RNA". It matches the Rfam family "Bacterial small subunit ribosomal RNA", at positions 338 to 524 of the family's 1533-position model. The record is from RNAcentral.
CCUACGGGAGGCAGCAGUAGGGAAUCUUCCGCAAUGGACGAAAGUCUGACGGAGCAACGCCGCGUGAGUGAUGAAGGCCUUCGGGUCGUAAAACUCUGUUGUUAGGGAAGAACAAGUACCGGAGUAACUGCCGGUACCUUGACGGUACCUAACCAGAAAGCCACGGCUAACUACGUGCCAGCAGCCGCGGUAAU